This 73-nucleotide transfer RNA is filed under the name Candidatus Melainabacteria bacterium. RNAcentral describes it as "tRNA-Val". It matches the Rfam family "tRNA". Rfam says of the family: Transfer RNA (tRNA) molecules are approximately 80 nucleotides in length. Their secondary structure includes four short double-helical elements and three loops (D, anti-codon, and T loops). Lineage: Bacteria; Bacillati; Candidatus Melainabacteria. The record is from RNAcentral. RNAcentral also lists the same sequence under 3 other names.
ACCCGGUUGGCUCAAGCGGUAGAGCGGCUCCCUUACAAGGAGAUGGUUCGAGGUUCAAAUCCUCGACCGGGUA